This 460-nucleotide ribosomal RNA is filed under the name Paracatua rubrolimbata. Its description in RNAcentral is "partial large subunit ribosomal RNA". Lineage: Eukaryota; Metazoa; Arthropoda; Insecta; Hemiptera; Cicadellidae. The record is from RNAcentral.
UAGCAAAUUUUUAAAAGUAUUCCCUGCCCAAUGGUUAAUUUAAAUGGCUGCAGUAUUCUGACUGUGCAAAGGUAGCAUAGUAAUUAGUCUUUUAAUUGGAGUCUUGUAUGAAUGGGUUCAUGAGAUAUUAUUUUUAUUUUUAUUAUUUUUAAAAUUUAAUAUUUAAGUAAAAAAGCUUAUUUUAUUUUUUGGGACGAUAAGACCCUAUAGAACUUUAUUUUUAAUUUAAUUUAUAUUAUUUUAGAUUUUUAAUAAUUUAAAUAUUUUGAUAUUUUUAGUUGGGGUGAUUAAUAAAUUUAACUUUAUUUUAUGCUUUCAUUUAUUUAUGUAUGAUUGAUCCAUUAAUAAUGAUUAUAAGAAUAAGUUACCUUAGGGAUAACAGCGUUAUUUUAAUGGGGAGUUCAUAUCUAUAUUAAAGUUUGCGACCUCGAUGUUGAAUUAAGAUAAGAUUGAGGGGCAG